Aquila chrysaetos chrysaetos is the source of this 2214-nucleotide long non-coding RNA. RefSeq lists it as uncharacterized. The transcript is spliced from 3 exons. NCBI's taxonomy places the organism in Eukaryota, Metazoa, Chordata, Aves, Accipitriformes, Accipitridae. The record is from RefSeq and is a predicted model, not a curated record.
CCUGGUAUGUGUGAUGAGAUGGUUUGAUGCACCCAAGGCUGCUUUCUGUCACUUUGCCGAAUGGUGUGGGACAACAUGUAUCCGUAGGGCAUAAAGUCCCCAGCUUUCCAUGUCAGGGGACUGCAACCAGCUGCUUAUUGGGGUUGGUCCAUGUUGGCUCCUAGUCAUUGUUCAGGAAGGUGCUAAUUGUCAUGAGCCAAGAGGGUGUGAAGGAGCAGGGUAACAGCAGACAUGAUUUGACUACCAGUGUCUGGGAAUAUUCCUUUGCAUUGCAUAGUAGUAAGGAUGUAAUCAGCCCUUGUAGGCUACUAUCUUAUUAAAUAGCACCAAUGCAAAAAAAAAAAACCCCUCAUUUAUGGCAGUUGAAUGUAUUGCAGUGUAGUUGGGAAAAAAGAAUUCAGGUUCUGUCUAAAGCCUGAGUGAGGCUCUCUUGGGAGCACAGUAUCAGGGAGGGAGUUUAAGGGGUUGUGUGUAAUCGUGUGAAAGUGAGCUCUCGAUGGAGUAGUGGGACAGAAAGGUUCUCUGCAACUCUGGAGAGCAAGUAGCAGGGAGGUGACUUUGUCCCUUUAAAGGAGGGGACGCUGGCUGGUGUCUGCACUUGAAGAAGGGUGGGGAAAUGCCACGAAGAAUUCAAAGGAGGGUCAUAAAUGGCUUGGAAUUGCCAAACCAGAACUCCAGGCUUAAGGAGCUCAGUUUAUUUGGCUAAUUGGGAUAAAGGCUGGUGAGGGCGUGACUUGAUUGCCAUGUCUAGUGGAAGAAAGCUUCGAUCAGCAGGUUUGGGGUGCAGAAGGAACUCUUGGAAGUUUUAUGCCUUUUUUCAGAUUUUAGAGGAAAUCAUGUGUCUCUACGGUUGCAGCUUUAGUCUAAAAUACUGGGCGUACUAGGUAGAGGUCUUGGGUGUAAGGAACUGAUCUGCAGUGUACUGAAGGCAGGACGGGCCAUUUGAGUCUUUCUGCCUUUAUGCUCAGAGCUCUGAUACUCCCUAACACCUUCCUCUCUCCAUCCCUGGGGUAGGGUAGUUCUGGAACGCUGGGCAUAGUUUAAACUAUCAGGUCAAAAUGCUUUGGAGCCAUCUCAAGGCAGGCAUCUAAAAUAGGUGGGUUUCCCACUGGUAAUGACUGUUGUCCUCCAGUGACCGUGGGGGGAGGCCAGACAGCUGGUUGAGACGUGGACUCCUGAACUUUGGAUGUCUGAAGCUGCACAAGAUGAACCCCCCCUCACCACCUGCAGGAGUGAGAAGGAGCUACUAGAACAAAGCACCUAAUGAAAUGCUGUCUGACGCCAUCCAAGACGAAAAUAAUACAGAAACUUUAAUCAGCUCUCACAAGCUGAGCAGUCCCUGGAGGUCCUGUACCGAGCCUGACCCACUUGCUGGGCCCCAGUGGUGCGGCACCGGGCGCUCCUCCGUCUGCCUUCGGAGAAAUGAAAGGACAGCGAUCUAAAAAGAGACAAGGAGGCACAGGGGAAGGCACUGAGUGGACUGUCUGCAACGGAGGCUCAUGAUGAACCCAGUCUCCCGUCCCUAAGCUCCUUAAAGGAGAUGUGACCACUUUGCUACGGCUUCAGAUUGGGGCAUCUAAGCGGACAAAGCAAUGGAAGAUGUUGCUGGGAAGAUGAUUCCCACAUGCUCCCCAGAAGGGCUGCUGAACUGCCAAACAAACACCGAGCUUUCACCCUCCUGCGUGUACCCAUCCCGCGAGCUGCAGCUGGGAUGCCGUCAGCCCUCGCUGGACCCCAGGAGGAUGCGAGGUGCUGGCACUCGCCGGCAUGCCGAGGCCUGCCUGGCUGGACACCCCCGGUGGAGCGAUGCUCCAGGGCCUUUGGACAACGCUCCAGCAAAGUGAGAGCAAACCACCUCCUCCCUGGGCACAACACACCUUGAUUUUCUGAUAUUUUUUUCUUUUUUUUUCUUUUGGCUGACUGAGGAACUGAAGUACAAUCCUCUUUCACCUAUUUGACAUUCAUUCACUGAUGGAUGGCCGAAGGUCUUGUUUGGUUUUUAACUGAUAGGGUGAUGAUGUGAUUAUAAACCUAACAUUCGUGGCGUAUUUUUGAGCCAUCUGAAAAGUGUGAGUCAUUACGGAAAACGUGAGAAUGGUGAGGUUUGUGGGAUAAAUUUUUUUAAUCCCUGAAUUUCAUUCCCAGUUUUGAAUGAAGCAACUGUAUUUCAUGGGAGUGAAAAAACUGGGUUCUUUCCCCUUUUCUUGCUGCAGU